ACGACCCUUUGCGUGCACACACGCUCCCAACG
Molecule: ribosomal RNA, 32 nt
Filed under: Trichopus sempervirens
Lineage: Eukaryota; Viridiplantae; Streptophyta; Magnoliopsida; Dioscoreales; Dioscoreaceae
Description: partial 26S ribosomal RNA
Source: RNAcentral